Molecule: ribosomal RNA, 433 nt
Filed under: uncultured bacterium
Lineage: Bacteria
Description: partial 16S ribosomal RNA
Rfam family: Bacterial small subunit ribosomal RNA
Source: RNAcentral
AACGAACGCUAGCGGCAGGCUUAACACAUGCAAGUCGAACGGAUCCUUCGGGAUUAGUGGCAGACGGGUGAGUAACGCGUGGGAACGUACCCUUUGCUACGGAAUAACUCAGGGAAACUUGAGCUAAUACCGUAUGUGCCCUACGGGGGAAAGAUUUAUCGGCAAAGGAUCGGCCCGCGUUGGAUUAGCUAGUUGGUGGGGUAAUGGCCUACCAAGGCGACGAUCCAUAGCUGGUCUGAGAGGAUGAUCAGCCACACUGGGACUGAGACACGGCCCAGACUCCUACGGGAGGCAGCAGUGGGGAAUAUUGGACAAUGGGCGCAAGCCUGAUCCAGCCAUGCCGCGUGAGUGAUGAAGGUCUUAGGAUUGUAAAGCUCUUUCACCGGUGAAGAUAAUGACGGUAGCCGGAGAAGAAGCCCCGGCUAACUUCGUG